This is a long non-coding RNA of Papaver somniferum (opium poppy), 3102 nucleotides long. RefSeq lists it as uncharacterized. Lineage: Eukaryota; Viridiplantae; Streptophyta; Magnoliopsida; Ranunculales; Papaveraceae. The record is from RefSeq and is a predicted model, not a curated record. The transcript has 5 exons.
CUUUCUCAUAAACCCUAUACGCAACUACUCCUUCUUCUUCUUUAUUCGCGUGGUUUCAUGGGAGAGAUCACUGAUUUUUUGAUUCGAUUAUAUUAUAAUCUAACAAGUAAUUCUUCUGUGUCCGCCACCUCUUUCAUUCUUCUGAAUUCUCUUCUGAAACCAAACCCUCUUCUAGGUUCUCUCUUCAAAUUCCGGUCCUAUUGUUGGGUGUUAAUGAACUUUCUCUGAGGAAUUUCUUCCAUUGAAGCAAAGCUAUUGGUUAGGGAUGAUACUGCUGCUGUCGUUGAAGAAUCCCUGAUGAUUUCACGGAUUUUCCUUUUUGAGGUCUUUGAAGCGAAAUUUGAAGGAAUCGGGAGCAGUUUUGAGAUCGAGGGAUACGGAUAAAGCUUAAGAAAGGGAUGAUGAUGGUUGUGCUGAUUGUUUUGGUUGACUAAAACUCAUGCGAAGGUAAAUCAGAAUACAUAAAUUAGGAUUUGUCAAUUGACUCUUGAAUUGAAUUAUAAACUGAGUAAUUAGUGAUGGGUUUGUUCUUAAUUGAAGAAUAGAGAAUUCUAUAGGGUUCGAUUUUAGUUUCUUUUGGAAAUUGAAAUCUUAAGUUAGGGUUUUUGUGAAUUGAAUCAGAAAUUUUGGGCAAAGUUGAAUCAGAAGGAAAAGAAGAAACGUGCUAAAACCCUGUAAUUGUUAUCUCUGCAGGGGUUUCUUAGGUCUGAAUUCGAUCUAAACUAAUGUAAUACGGUUACCAAUUAUGAUAAUUAGGAUUGAAAUCUUAACUUUACGCCCAAUUUUUAUUGAUUCGAUACUUUGAAUCUCACUUGCUGGGGUUGCUGUUGGUGCUGGAUGGCAAAGUGUCAUAGCUUAUGUGAACCUAGCCUGCUAUUACUUGGUCAGAAUUCCUCUUCAAGUGAUCCUCGGUUACCUUAUCGAUUUUCAAGUUACAGUAAUUUAUUUACUAAAAGUUUGUCUAUGCUAAACCAUAAAGCAAUCCUGAGUGAUAUAGCCAGCAAGUACUCUGAUGGUAAACAACGGCUGUGUGACAAUGUGAGGUCAGUCUAUUAUCUACUUUAAGUCUCUGCACCUAUUGGAAAAAGUGCUAUUUAAAAAAGUACAGCAGAAAAUGUUGCUUCCAAUGAGAUACGGUUUUCUGACUUUAAUUGGUCAAGUGCUACUUUGUUUGAAACUAACUCGAGUAUGCUAUUGUAUCUAAUGUAUAGCUUCAUUGCCUACUGAAUCUGCCACCCACUGUGGAAGACUUGAUGCAGACUUGAGUAUCAUCAAUACUUCAUUGGGAACGCCAAUUCAAAAGGGAUUGUUACCGAAUUUGUCAGUUCACGUGUACUGGAAUUUUUUUCUUUCGUAUUUUUUUCCAGCAAGAUAAUUUGCUGAAAUAUAGUGUGUAUGGGGUUGCAACAGCCUAGAGGUACUAUUGUUUCUUACCGUUUAAUCGUGAUUAUGUACAUGAAAUCUCUAGGAUUAAAAUUUAUUCAUGUCUUUCCAUUAAGGGGGUGUGUCUUUACAUGCAGGGAUAUUCAAGUGAUAGUAUAGUUGUAUAUGGGAUCAAGUUAUUGAAUUCUUCACCUAAUAAAAUCUUAUACCAGACUGUGGAGGUUAAUGUUUGUGGUUGCAUUAGAGGCUUGGUAAAAUUCGCAAGGCUGGCAAUGGUUUGCAUUAAUUCUUUCAAAUUUUGUAACUCAAUUUUGUAUUAUUUUAUUUUUGAAAAGGUUGCGGAUUUGGAUUUUGUUUUUGAUUGUUCUUCCACCAGAUGAAUCAAAAUACUUCACUUAUAAUAAGUAGGAUCAUCCAGACAGGUAGUCAAUUUGAAGGUACAGAGGCCCCAUCACAGUAAAGGUUGGAAACAAGGACGGCGAACUGUUGGCAUUUACAAAUUAUUGAUCUGGUGACAUUUUGCGUAAUGCUGGAAGGCCAGCUAUUUUCCUAUUGGUUGAUAACACUGCCAACAGACCUCUUUAAGGUGUGUCUUCUUAAUACAUUGAGUCUUUUUUGGAAAGUUGAUGUCAACUGUAAUCAUUAUUUUUGUUUUAUAAUCUGACAUUGUAUCAUUCUAUAUAUCCUUAGUUUACUAUUUUAGCAUGAGAGUGAAUGUGUACCAGCAGGUGUAUACCGAGGCACAACUAGCACCUCAUUGUAAGUUUGGUUGUUCAAUAAGUAUCGAUCCUUGCGUAGUUCAUACUUAUUGAUUUAUUAAAAAUUAUAUGCCAGCUUUGAGUAAUAAUGAACCAAUAACAAAAGUGGAUGGUGGUCGUACUGUUAAGGGUGGAAUAGUGCUCUUGCAACAAACCAAAAAAAUAUAAACAAAAAGCUUCUCUUAACCUAUAAUUAUACCUCCAUACUUUAUUUUGCACGCAUCUUUAGCCUGCAACAACUAGAUAUGUUUCACCUGUAAUUUGUUCUACCGGGGGAAUUGAUCAAGUCUUUUCUGUAUAGCGUAAACUGGAGCAUACUUCAACAAAGUACAGUUGAUAUCCCUUUCUCAUGCAAAGAUAAAUGAAGUAAAUCACUAAGUGCAAUGUUAUUGUCUUCUUAUUUAUUUCUAUAUUUUGUUCUAGGGAAUCUUGAUUUGCGCUUUUUUCACUUUCUGUAUGCAUGGAAAUCCGCUAGGGGAAUCCAAAUACUACCCACAUUUAGGGAGUCUUUUAACGUAUGUACUCAAGCUAAGAGGAAUUUAGUUCCACCUUCAAGUAGUGCUAUUUAAUUGUUCAAUUUUUCUGCUUUUGGCAGGUAUGGGUAAAUUAUUGUUACUUUAGGAUGUGGAUUUGCAAUGAAAAUUUAAUUAUUAAUUUUUGUUCUCCCAAUGUCGUAGGAAUCAUCUCAGAUUUUUUGCCUUUGUCUUUAGUGCUGGAGGAUGUCAUGCCUCAUCUGAUCAGGACCAUGGAGAUAGGUAUUUUCAUAUUAAAAUUAUAUCAGUUGAUUAUUUGGUUUUCAUUAAGAUGGUUUCCCUCGAAAAAGGUUCUUUGCUCUCACUUUUUUCCUUGACUAAUUGAUUUGGGCCAGUUGGCCCUGUACAAAAUUCAUUCUUUAUGAUGUUUUUCAUGCGUACCUAUCAUUUUGACGUGGAUAUUUUUCAUAAAAUAUCAUUAGCUUUUA